UACAGAGGUCCCAAGCGUUGUUCGGAUUCACUGGGCGUAAAGGGUGCGUAGGUGGUGGGGUAAGUCGGAUGUGAAAGCUCGGAGCUCAACUCCGAAAUGGCAUUGGAAACUACCCUGCUAGAGGGUCGGAGGGGGGACUGGAAUUCUCGGUGUAGCAGUGAAAUGCGUAGAUAUCGAGAGGAACACCGGUGGCGAAGGCGGGUCUCUGGGCCGAUACUGACGCUGAGGAGCGAAAGCGUGGGGAGCGAACAGG
Molecule: ribosomal RNA, 253 nt
Filed under: uncultured bacterium
Lineage: Bacteria
Description: partial 16S ribosomal RNA
Rfam family: Bacterial small subunit ribosomal RNA
Source: RNAcentral